RNAcentral lists this RNase P RNA (189 nucleotides) under Meyerozyma guilliermondii. RNAcentral describes it as "Nuclear RNase P". It matches the Rfam family "Nuclear RNase P", at positions 82 to 272 of the family's 301-position model. Rfam says of the family: Ribonuclease P (RNase P) is a ubiquitous endoribonuclease, found in archaea, bacteria and eukarya as well as chloroplasts and mitochondria. Its best characterised activity is the generation of mature 5'-ends of tRNAs by cleaving the 5'-leader elements of precursor-tRNAs. Lineage: Eukaryota; Fungi; Ascomycota; Pichiomycetes; Serinales; Debaryomycetaceae. The record is from Rfam by way of RNAcentral.
GUUCUCUCCGUCCACGGAGGCAGGUUUCUGCCUUCGCACAAAAUGCUCCUGAGAGCGUCCUGGCGCGAAAGCGCCGGGCAGGGCCAUCAGAAAUCAGUCGAGUUUACUUGGCAUGGGAGGCUCUGCGGACGGUUGGUCAUGUGUAUGAACAUGGCUAUUGAGUGCAAUAUGCGAACCUUGAAAAAGGCA